Molecule: ribosomal RNA, 253 nt
Filed under: uncultured bacterium
Lineage: Bacteria
Description: partial 16S ribosomal RNA
Rfam family: Bacterial small subunit ribosomal RNA
Source: RNAcentral
UACGGGGGGGGCAAGCGUUGUUCGGAAUUACUGGGCGUAAAGGGCUCGUAGGCGGCCAACUAAGUCAGACGUGAAAUCCCUCAGCUUAACUGGGGAACUGCGUCUGAUACUGGAUGGCUUGGAUUCGGGAGAGGGAUGCGGAAUUCCAGGUGUGGCGGUGAAAUGCGUAGAUAUCUGGAGGAACACCGGUGGCGAAGGCGGCAUCCUGGACCGAUAUUGACGCUGAGGAGCGAAAGCUAGGGGAGCAAACGGG